Tachysurus fulvidraco (yellow catfish) is the source of this 1569-nucleotide long non-coding RNA. RefSeq lists it as uncharacterized. The record is from RefSeq and is a predicted model, not a curated record. Lineage: Eukaryota; Metazoa; Chordata; Actinopteri; Siluriformes; Bagridae. The transcript is spliced from 4 exons.
UGUGUGUGUUUGUGUGUGUGUGUGUGUGUGUGUGUUUGUGUAUGCGUGUGUGUGUGUGUGUGUGUGUGUGUGUGUGUGUUUGUGUGUGUGUGUGUGUGUGUGUGUGUGUGUGUGUGUGUGCACGACCAUCCAGCUACAAAACAGAGCACUACUUAGGGGAACAAUGUGAUCUACCUGAGUGAAUACCGUCACACCAUCAACAAGGAAAGUCGUCACUAUUGUUUGGACUGCAGUGUAAACAUCACAGAUUUGCCCACAGUAGCAUUGAGGUCUUCUUGAUACACUACAGGCUUCUGCACUAUCGAGGGCGAUCCUGGCAGCAUCCUUGCUUGUGUACUGACUGCAUCUGCACUUUAAAAACUUUAGGUUCCAUAAAGAGCAAUAUUUGGGGUUAUCGCUGGAAAAGCAUCUUAUAUUUCAGACGGCACUUGGCGCACUUCCGUUGGCUUUACUUCUCGUGUGUGGAGAUCGUCUUCCUGAGACAGGACACUGGGAACUUGGAGGAACUUGAACAAUUACUUGUGACAAUUACAAUUGGCCAUUACUGUGACCCCAAAGCCUGGAGCUUCUACAAGCAACAGCCCAAAGAACAUUGGGAUCGUCAUAGAGGGCGUGGAAGUCAUCACAGGACUUGAAGAUAUUGCAAGGGCUUGCUCUGUCCUCCUUGGCUUGACUUACGCGCUGAAUCUCGAUUAUCCCAGACAGAAAUACACCUUUGAGGUGUUCCAAAAACUUUUCUUGGAACUGGAUGAUUCAAAGCUUUCAAACAAAGUCCAGUCCCUCAAGAGCAAACUUCAGGUUUGAAAUGAGACUGUAUUGCAGUGUAGACUUCACAAUGUUCUACACAAUGUUCAUCUUCUACAGAGCUUGAGAAUUGCACAUUUGAAAGUGCAAUGUUUGUAAGUUGGCACUGUUUUGUUCUACGAAUGUUGUGACAUUUCAGUUGUUGUACGUUCAAAGUACAAAUGUAUUUUACUCUGUUCAAUUUGCACUUUUAUUAUUUAUGUUUUGGCACAUGCCAUUAUGGAAUAUCAGCAUUUUGUCCUUUUCAAAGUUCUGGUUUGAAAUGCAUGAUCAAACUUCUGGCUUGAAAAUGAGACUGUAGUUGCAGUGUACAUGUUUUGCUACACAAUGUUUAGCUUCUACAGAGCUUGGGAAUUGCACAUCUGAAAGUGCUAUGUUUGUAAGUAAGCACUGAUUUGGACUCUUAUACCACGAAUGUCAGUGAGAUUUCUAGUUCAAAGUACGAACUGUUUUUUACUCUGUACAAAUUACACUUUUCUGCUUUUGUUUUGGUACAUGCACCUCUGGAGGAUUUUUCUUUUAAUAUUAUUAUUGACCCAAUUUCGUUAAGUGGGUUGAGAAAGCAUAGAAUCAGGUUUAUGGACUCAUCACCAUUCUGUAUGUCAUUUAUUUUUGUUUUUACAAAAUAGUUUAAAGUCAGCAUUCUGUCUGGUUUGAAAUGCAAGAUCCAACUUCUGGCUUGAAAUGAGACUGUGUUUGCAGUGUACAAUGAUGUGCUACAAUGUGUCUAAAGCACAAAAGUGAAUAAAAUUGUUAAUAAAAUUC